GUGGGGAAUAUUGGGCAAUGGGCGAAAGCCUGACCCAGCAACGCCGCGUGAGGGAAGAAGGCCUUCGGGUUGUAAACCUCUGUCCUUGGUGACGAAGAAAGUGACGGUAGCCAAGGAGGAAGCCCCGGCUAACUACGUGCCAGCAGCCGCGGUAAUACGUAGGGGGCGAGCGUUGUCCGGAAUUACUGGGCGUAAAGGGUGCGUAGGUGGCCUUUUAAGUUGGAUGGGAAAUACCCGGGCUUAACUUGGGGGGUGCAUCUAAUACUGGGAGGCUAGAGUGCAGGAGAGGGAAGCGGAAUUCCUAGUGUAGCGGUGAAAUGCGUAGAUAUUAGGAGGAACACCAGUGGCGAAGGCGGCUUUCUGGACUGUAACUGACACUGAGGCACGAAAGCGUGGGGAGCAAACAGGAUUAGAAACCCUUGUAGUCC
This 428-nucleotide ribosomal RNA is filed under the name uncultured bacterium. RNAcentral's name for it is "partial 16S ribosomal RNA". It matches the Rfam family "Bacterial small subunit ribosomal RNA", at positions 354 to 796 of the family's 1533-position model. The record is from RNAcentral.